UGGGGGAUAUUGCACAAUGGGGGAAACCCUGAUGCAGCGACGCCGCGUGAGGGAAGACGGUCUUCGGAUUGUAAACCUCUGUCUUCAGGGACGAAUAAAUGACGGUACCUGAGGAGGAAGCCACGGCUAACUACGUGCCAGCAGCCGCGGUAAUACGUAGGUGGCGAGCGUUGUCCGGAAUUACUGGGUGUAAAGGGAGCGUAGGCGGGAUUGCAAGUUGAAUGUGAAAUCUAUGGGCUCAACCCAUAGCUGCGUUCAAAACUGCAGUUCUUGAGUGAAGUAGAGGCAGGCGGAAUUCCUAGUGUAGCGGUGAAAUGCGUAGAUAUUAGGAGGAACACCAGUGGCGAAGGCGGCCUGCUGGGCUUUAACUGACGCUGAGGCUCGAAAGCGUGGGUAGCAAACAGGAUUAGAUACCC
This 416-nucleotide ribosomal RNA is filed under the name uncultured bacterium. RNAcentral's name for it is "bacterial SSU rRNA". It matches the Rfam family "Bacterial small subunit ribosomal RNA", at positions 355 to 787 of the family's 1533-position model. The record is from RNAcentral.